AGUGAACGCUGGCGGUAGGCCUAACACAUGCAAGUCGAACGGCAGCACAGUAAGAGCUUGCUCUUACGGGUGGCGAGUGGCGGACGGGUGAGGAAUACAUCGGAAUCUACUUUUUCGUGGGGGAUAACGUAGGGAAACUUACGCUAAUACCGCAUACGACCUACGGGUGAAAGCAGGGGAUCUUCGGAUCUUGCGCGAUUGAAUGAGCCGAUGUCGGAUUAGCUAGUUGGCGGGGUAAAGGCCCACCAAGGCGACAAUCCGUAGCUGGUCUGAGAGGAUGAUCAGCCACACUGGAACUGAGACACGGUCCAGACUCCUACGGGAGGCAGCAGUGGGGAAUAUUGGACAAUGGGCGCAAGCCUGAUCCAGCCAUACCGCGUGGGUGAAGAAGGCCUUCGGGUUGUAAAGCCCUUUUGUUGGGAAAGAAAAGCAGCAGGUUAAUACCCCGCUGUUCUGACGGUACCCAAAGAAUAAGCACCGGCUAACUUCGUG
This 492-nucleotide ribosomal RNA is filed under the name uncultured bacterium. Its description in RNAcentral is "partial 16S ribosomal RNA". It matches the Rfam family "Bacterial small subunit ribosomal RNA", at positions 29 to 507 of the family's 1533-position model. The record is from RNAcentral.